RNAcentral lists this ribosomal RNA (329 nucleotides) under uncultured eukaryote. RNAcentral's name for it is "partial 18S ribosomal RNA". It matches the Rfam family "Eukaryotic small subunit ribosomal RNA", at positions 1470 to 1796 of the family's 1831-position model. The record is from RNAcentral.
CCCUUAGAUGUUCUGUGCCGCACGCGCGCUACACUGACGAUGGCAACGAGUUUUUCCUUCGCCGAAAGGUGUGGGUAAUCUUUUGAAACAUCGUCGUGCUGGGGAUAGAUCAUUGCAAUUUUUGAUCUUGAACGAGGAAUUCCUAGUAAGCGCGAGUCAUCAGCUCGCGUUGAUUACGUCCCUGCCCUUUGUACACACCGCCCGUCGCUACUACCGAUUGAAUGGUUUAGUGAGGACUCCUGAUUGGCGCCGCCGCCCCGGCAACGGAGCAGCGGACUGCCGAAAAGUUGUUCAAACUUGAUCAUUUAGAGGAAGUAAAAGUCGUAACA